This 493-nucleotide ribosomal RNA is filed under the name uncultured bacterium. RNAcentral describes it as "partial 16S ribosomal RNA". It matches the Rfam family "Bacterial small subunit ribosomal RNA", at positions 29 to 523 of the family's 1533-position model. The record is from RNAcentral.
AUUGAACGCUGGCGGCAUGCCUUACACAUGCAAGUCGAACGGUAACAGGUUAAGCUGACGAGUGGCGAACGGGUGAGUAAUAUAUCGGAACGUGCCCAGUCGUGGGGGAUAACUGUUCGAAAGAGCAGCUAAUACCGCAUACGACCUGAGGGUGAAAGCGGGGGAUCGCAAGACCUCGCGCGAUUGGAGCGGCCGAUAUCAGAUUAGGUAGUUGGUGGGGGAAAGGCCCACCAAGCCAACGAUCAGUAGAUGGGCGGAGAGGACGACCCGCCACACUGGGACUGAGACGCGGCGCAGCGUCCUACGGGAGGCAUCCGUGGGGAAGUUUGGACAAGGGGCGCAGGCCUGAUCCAGCCAUGCCGGGUGCGGAAAGAAGGCCUGCGGGUUGUAAACCGCUUUUGUCAGGGAAGAAAAGGUUCUGGUUAAUACCUGGGACUCAUGACGGUACCUGAAGAAUAAGCACCGGCUAACUACGUGCCAGCAGCCGCCGUAA